Molecule: long non-coding RNA, 804 nt
Organism: Lolium perenne
Lineage: Eukaryota; Viridiplantae; Streptophyta; Magnoliopsida; Poales; Poaceae
Source: RefSeq, a predicted model, not a curated record
AGCUCAUUAUAUAGCAAAGCAUGGAAAAAAUGGAAUGAUUCAAGGGCAUCGUUCUAAACUGUGAUUUUUCUUGAUGACAGCUGUUGGCAUUAUGCGUUGCAGAUUUAGGCCUCAAGGCUAAACUGGAUGUUCGAGGUACCUGCGGAGUUCUAAAUUCGUAUGUUGAUUGUACAACAUGCCAGUGAAGCUCCUUCGUGGCCGGUGGCGUGAUGCCAAGGUGCUCCAGCCAUCCUCACUCAGGUUUUUCCACAGCAAAUCCUCACCUAGACAGUGGCCCUGCUGCCUGUUCAGUCGGGUGGGCACUCAAAGACAAGCAAUGCUUGCGCCUUCUCGGGAUCAGGAGCACUACAUCACCGAGAAACUACGCCUGAUAUUCCAUAUAGGAGUGGAAUACGUGAAUAAUAACAUAUGGGAAGGACCACCUGUAUAUUUGAGAGUGGAAUUUCAGGGAAGGACAAUCAUGAAGAGAUGGACUGGAGCCACGAUACCAUUCCACACAAACGUCUGAAGCUGGAGUUUGUCAAGUCCUCUGUGGUGCCAAGCAGCAUGUGCCGCUGUGGAUGUCCCCUCUUGGAUAAUGUGACAACUUAUAGCACAUAAUUCAGUUUUUAGUGUUCCAUUAAACCUUAGGUGUGCAAUUUGAUAUUCUCAGUUUCCUAUAGAAUAUACCUUCAAUAUUUGGAUGAUUUAUGAGUGUCCAUCCAAGACAUUGAGUUCCAAAUCGGUAUAUAGUUCCCCUAUUUUGAUUUUUGAUAAAACAUGGUUGUUGUAUCUGAGUGAGGAUUUUUUGUUGUUGAAAAUUUA